This 74-nucleotide transfer RNA is filed under the name Bacteroidetes bacterium GWE2_29_8. RNAcentral describes it as "tRNA-Gln". It matches the Rfam family "tRNA". Rfam says of the family: Transfer RNA (tRNA) molecules are approximately 80 nucleotides in length. Their secondary structure includes four short double-helical elements and three loops (D, anti-codon, and T loops). Further hydrogen bonds mediate the characteristic L-shaped molecular structure. tRNAs have two regions of fundamental functional importance: the anti-codon, which is responsible for specific mRNA codon recognition, and the 3' end, to which the tRNAs corresponding amino acid is attached (by aminoacyl-tRNA synthetases). tRNAs cope with the degeneracy of the genetic code in two manners: having more than one tRNA (with a specific anti-codon) for a particular amino acid; and 'wobble' base-pairing, i.e. permitting non-standard base-pairing at the 3rd anti-codon position. The record is from RNAcentral. RNAcentral also lists the same sequence under 1 other name. Lineage: Bacteria; Pseudomonadati; Bacteroidota.
UGUCCGAUUGUGUAAUGGCAGCACAGCAGUUUUUGGUUCUGUAAGUCUAGGUUCGAAUCCUAGUCGGACAACAA